UACAGAGGGUGCGAGCGUUAAUCGGAAUCACUGGGCGUAAAGCGCACGUAGGCGGAUAUUUAAGUCGGGUGUGAAAGCCCUCGGCUCAACCGAGGAAGUGCGCCCGAAACUGCAGAGCUUGAGUACCGGAGAGGAUGGCGGAAUUCCCCAAGUAGAGGUGAAAUUCGUAGAUAUGGGGAGGAACACCGGUGGCGAAGGCGGCCAUCUGGACGGAUACUGACGCUGAGACGCGAAAGCGUGGGUAGCAAACAGG
RNAcentral lists this ribosomal RNA (253 nucleotides) under uncultured bacterium. RNAcentral's name for it is "partial 16S ribosomal RNA". It matches the Rfam family "Bacterial small subunit ribosomal RNA", at positions 524 to 776 of the family's 1533-position model. The record is from RNAcentral.